Molecule: long non-coding RNA, 1584 nt
Filed under: Taeniopygia guttata (zebra finch)
Lineage: Eukaryota; Metazoa; Chordata; Aves; Passeriformes; Estrildidae
Description: lncRNA (ENSTGUG00000025012.1)
Source: RNAcentral
AUUUCCCCCAAUUUCUCCUGAUUUUUGCCAUUUUUUCCAAUUUUUCCCCAAUUUCUCCCAAUUUUUGACAUUUUCUUCCAAUUUUUCCCCAAUUUCUCCCAAUUUUUGCCAUUUUUUCAAUUUUUCCCCAAUUUCUCCCAAAUUUCUCCCAAAUUUCCCCCAAUUUCCCCUGAAUUCUCUCCCAAUCUUGUCUCUAUUUCCUCUCGAAUUUUCUCAAAUUUCUCCAAAUUUCGCCCAAUUUUCUCCCGUUUUUUUUCCCAAUUUUUCCCAAUUUCCCUGAUUUUCCCCAUUUUUACCAAAAUCUCGUUUUUUCUCCCCAUUUCCAGCACCAGCAGCAGCACCUGCAGGGCGCUCUCCGCCUGGGCUCGGCGGUGGAGCAGCAGCAGCCCCGGGGCCAUUUUCCAUUUCCUCCCAUUUUUCCCAAUUCUCACCCAAAUUUUUCCCAAUUUCUCCCAAUUUUCUCCCGUUUUUUUUCCAAUUUCUCCCAAUGUUCUCCCAGUUUUUCCCCAAUUUCCCCCCAAAUUUCCCCCUAUUUCUCCCAAUUUUUUCCCAAAUUUUCCCCAAUUUCCCCAAAUUCUCUCCCCGUUUUCUCCCCAUUUCCUCCCAAUUUUUCUCAAUUUUCUUCAAAUUUUCUCUGAAUUUUCUCCGAAUUUCUCCCAAUUUUCUCCCUUUUUUUUCCCCAUUUCCCCCAAUUUUCCCCAUUUUCCUAUUUUUUACCAAAAUCUCAUUUUUUCUCCCCGUUUCCAGCACCAGCAGCAGCACCUGCAGGGCGCUCUGCGCCUGGGCUCGGCGGUGGAGCAGCAGCGCGCCUGGGCCACCAUCGGCCGCACCUUCCUGCUCAUGGCCGAGGCACCUCCCUCAUCCCAAAUCCCGGAAUUCCCCGAAUUCCCGCAAUUCCCGGAAUUCCCGGAAUUCCCGCAAUUCCCGGAAAGCCCCGAGGGAGCCCAGGGAACCCCAGGAAAUUCGGGAAUUUUGGGGCAUUGGGCGCUGCGCCGGGCGCUGGCGGCGUUCCAGAACAGCCUGGACAUCGUGGAGACACAGCUGGAAGGCCAGGUGCCCUCCCGUGAGCUGCAGCGGAUGCGGGCGCGGCUGUUCCUGAACCUGGGCCUGGCGCAGGAAUCCCUCGGGAACCUCCAGGAGAGCUCCCGGCUGCUGCGGCACAGCGCACACGUGGCCACGUGAGAGACCCGGAAUAACGGGAAUUUCCAUGGGAAUUUCGGGAAUGAUGGGAAUUCCGGGGGGUUUGGGAAUGUUACAGGGGGUUUGGAGAGGUUUGGGAUGGGUUUGGAAAGGGAAAAUGGGAAAAUCGGGAGCGCCCGGCUGAGCUGCAGCGCUUCCCCAAGGCCCUGCAGGUGAGAAAAACGGGAAUUUUGGGAAUUUUUGGGAAUUUUUGGAAUGUUGGGAGAAGUUUUUGGGAAUUUUGGGGAGUUUUGGGAAUGUUAGAGGGGGUUUGGAGGGGUUUGGGAUGGGUUUGGAAAGGAGAAAAUGGGAAAAUCGGGAGAGCUCCCGGCUGCUGCAGCACAGCGCCCACGUGGCCACGUAAGAGACCCGAAUUCCGGGAAUUUCCAUGGGAAUUUCGGGAAU